AGUUUGAUCCUGGCUCAGAACAAACGCUGGCGGCGUGUCUUAAGCAUGCAAGUUGAGCGGCAAGGAGGAGAGAUCCUCCCUAGAGCAGCGGACUGGUGAGUAACGCGUGGGUAAUCUAUCUUAGGCAUGGGGAUAGUCACUAGAAAUAGUGGGUAAUACCGAAUAAGUUCCAUAAGGGGAGGACUUAUGGAAGAAAGGUGCUACGGCACUGGCCUUAGGUGAGCUCGCGUCCCAUUAGCUAGUUGGUGAGGUAAAGGCCCACCAAGGCGAUGAUGGGUAGCCGGCCUGAGAGGGUGAACGGCCACACUGGGACUGAGAUACGGCCCAGACUCCUACGGGAGGCAGCAGCUAAGAAUAUUCCGCAAUGGACGAAAGUCUGACGGAGCGACGCCGCGUGGAUGACGAAGGCCGAAAGGUUGUAAAGUCCUUUUGUCGAUGAAGAAUAAUUGUGGGAGGGAAUGCCCGCAAGAUGACGUUAGUCGGCGAAUAAGCCCCGGCUAAAUUACGUGCC
RNAcentral lists this ribosomal RNA (511 nucleotides) under uncultured bacterium. Its description in RNAcentral is "bacterial SSU rRNA". It matches the Rfam family "Bacterial small subunit ribosomal RNA", at positions 10 to 509 of the family's 1533-position model. The record is from RNAcentral.